AUGCUUGUCGAGACAAACAAGCAUGAAUAAUACUAUAUUGUUUACAAGCUUCUUAAGUUGGUAUUAAUUCUGCCAGUAGCUACUGCUAGUGUUGAAAGGGUGUUCUCUUCAAUGAACUAUGUGAAGAAUAAGCUAAAGAGCAAAAUGGGUGAUGAUUACUUGAACAAUUGUUUGGUCACAUUUGUUGAGAGAGAAUUUUUCAAUCAAGUAAAGGAUGAGGAUCUCAUCAAUCUCUUCCAAAAAGGCGAUCACAAAGUUAUAUUGUAA
RNAcentral lists this ribosomal RNA (267 nucleotides) under Triticum aestivum (bread wheat). RNAcentral's name for it is "partial small subunit ribosomal RNA". Lineage: Eukaryota; Viridiplantae; Streptophyta; Magnoliopsida; Poales; Poaceae. The record is from RNAcentral.